AAUUACUGGGCGUAAAGAGCUCGUAGGUGGUUUGUCGCGUUGUUCGUGAAAUCUCACGGCUUAACUGUGAGCGUGCGGGCGAUACGGGCAGACUUGAGUACUGCAGGGGAGACUGGAAUUCCUGGUGUAGCAGUGGAAUGCGCAGAUAUCAGGAGGAACACCGGUGGCGAAGGCGGGUCUCUGGGCAGUAACUGACGCUGAGGAGCGAAAGCGUGGGGAGCGAACAGGAUUAGAUACCCUGGUAGUCCACGCCGUAAACGGUGGGUACUAGGUGUGGGUUUCCUUCCUUGGGAUCCGUGCCGUAGCUAACGCAUUAAGUACCCCGCCUGGGGAGUACGGCCGCAAGGCUAAAACUCAAAGAAAUUGACGGGGGCCCGCACAAGCGGCGGAGCAUGCGGAUUAAUUCGAUGCAACGCGAAGAACCUUACCUGGGUUUGACAUGCACAGGACGCCGGCAGAGAUGUCGGUUCCCUUGUGGCCUGUGUGCAGGUGGUGCAUGGCUGUCGUCAGCUCGUGUCGUGAGAUGUUGGGUUAAGUCCCGCAACGAGCGCAACCUUUGUCUCAUGUUGCCAGCGGGUAAUGCCGGGGACUCGUGAGAGACUGCCGGGGUCAACUCGGAGGAAGGUGGGGAUGACGUCAAGUCAUCAUGCCCCUUAUGUCCAGGGCUUCACACAUGCUACAAUGGCCGGUACAAAGGGCUGCGAUGCCGCGAGGUUAAGCGAAUCCUUUUAAAGCCGGUCUCAGUUCGGAUCGGGGUCUGCAACUCGACCCCGUGAAGUCGGAGUCGCUA
This 790-nucleotide ribosomal RNA is filed under the name uncultured bacterium. Its description in RNAcentral is "bacterial SSU rRNA". It matches the Rfam family "Bacterial small subunit ribosomal RNA", at positions 549 to 1337 of the family's 1533-position model. The record is from RNAcentral.